Patiria miniata (bat star) is the source of this 1147-nucleotide RNA transcript. RefSeq lists it as uncharacterized. NCBI's taxonomy places the organism in Eukaryota, Metazoa, Echinodermata, Asteroidea, Valvatida, Asterinidae. The transcript has 6 exons. The record is from RefSeq and is a predicted model, not a curated record.
GGUUGUAGACGUACAAUGGUAUUAAUUCUAGUAUAACUUUCCAUCACGCGUCGCCCUAAGUGUGUACUGUGCAGGUCGAGUCGAGCAGUUGUGGUGAUCUUUACAGCACUUCGAAAUACACCAGAGUUUCGACACUUCAUUUCGAAUAGUUGCACCGCGCAUGCUGAACAAAAUGGCUGUUGUAUCUUACUGUCUGGUUGGUGUCCUUCUUCUGACUGCUCUGGUGAGCGGGCAAGGGGAUCUGCUGGCUUCCGAACCACAGUUGGAACUUCUCAACGGGAAGGUUAAGAUCGACACGGAUGUGCUUCGUCCACUUGUGGACAGCAUGACGAAGAAUCCUUUCCUGUGCACCGCCUGCGAGAACUUUGUGCAGUUCCUGAGAAACGCUACUGACAACCAGCAACUACUGGGUGAGCUAGUGACUCUUCUCUUGCCCGUAUGUGACUGGUUUCCAUUCGCACUGCAUGAGGAAUGCCUAGGUGCUGUCCGUGAAAUACCCACACUUGUGAAGAUGUACGCUAAUUUGUAUUUGGACCCGAAGAUAGAUUGCGCCCUCCUCUGCGCAGCAUCUCGCAUGGCCAAUGCGCCCAACCCUGUUCCCUUGACGGUGAACGACCUCGUGCAGAUGAUGGAGAAGAAGCCAGCUAAACAAUAAACAACCGAUUUGGAAGGAGGUUGUCAUUUCAACCGAGGCUAGUCUCUUGCACCUUAGCUACAUACCGACCGAUUUCUUUCACACGACCGAUUUCUUUCACACGACCGUUGAGUUUAGAGUAGCUUUUACGAAUUCAGAAGUGCCAGUUAUGAACUUCAGUUUUCAGAAUUAUUGAAACAUCAGAAACAUAUCUGGGUCUGUUCAUAAAAAAAAAAUCUUUCAAGUGUUCUAUGAAGAUGCACAUUUUUGCAAAUCAUACGCACUGUUUCGAAUGUGUCAAUGUUAUAUCGCAUGAUCAGUUAGCCUUAUACAAAAGUACCAACAAACACCCCAAUAUUUUGCUUUGAGGUCAAGACUGAAUAAAAACUUUUUUGUAUUAAGUUUUUGUCUUAUCAUAAGCUUUGGUUGGAAUAAAAAUGUCGUGAAAUCAAAUCAGAAUGUCGUUUGUAUAAAUGCUUUGUUUCCCCGUUGAUUUUCAACCCCGUUUGGACA